This 253-nucleotide ribosomal RNA is filed under the name uncultured organism. RNAcentral's name for it is "partial 16S ribosomal RNA". It matches the Rfam family "Bacterial small subunit ribosomal RNA", at positions 524 to 776 of the family's 1533-position model. The record is from RNAcentral.
UACGAGGGGUGCAAGCGUUAUUCGGAAUUAUUGGGCGUAAAGGGUGCGUAGACGGCAUAUUAAGUCAACUGUUAAAACCUCCGGCCUAACUGGAGAUCAGCAGUAGAUACUGGUAAGCUAGAGGAUGGAAGAGAGAAGUGGAAUUCUUGGAGUAGCGGUGGAAUGCGUAGAUCUCAAGAGGAACACCAAUGGCGAAGGCAGCUUCUUAGUCCAUUUCUGACGUUGAGGCACGAAAGCGUGGGGAGCAAACAGG